AGUGAACGCUGGCGGUAGGCCUAACACAUGCAAGUCGAACGGCAGCACAGUAAGAGCUUGCUCUUACGGGUGGCGAGUGGCGGACGGGUGAGGAAUACAUCGGAAUCUACUUUUUCGUGGGGGAUAACGUAGGGAAACUUACGCUAAUACCGCAUACGACCUACGGGUGAAAGCAGGGGAUCUUCGGACCUUGCGCGAUUGAAUGAGCCGAUGUCGGAUUAGCUAGUUGGCGGGGUAAAGGCCCACCAAGGCGACGAUCCGUAGCUGGUCUGAGAGGAUGAUCAGCCACACUGGAACUGAGCCACGGUCCAGACUACUACGGGAGGCAACAGUGGGGAAUAUUGGACAAUGGGAGGAAGCCUGAUCCAGCCAUACCGCGUGGGUGAAGAAGACAUUCCGGUUGUAAAGCACUUUUGUUGGGAAAGAAAAGCAGCAGGUUAAUACCCCGCUGUUCUGACGGUACCCUAAGAAUAAGCACCGGCUAACUUCGUG
Molecule: ribosomal RNA, 492 nt
Filed under: uncultured bacterium
Lineage: Bacteria
Description: partial 16S ribosomal RNA
Rfam family: Bacterial small subunit ribosomal RNA
Source: RNAcentral